Molecule: ribosomal RNA, 1674 nt
Filed under: human gut metagenome
Description: bacterial LSU rRNA
Rfam family: Bacterial large subunit ribosomal RNA
Source: RNAcentral
GGGUGAGUCGGGUCCUAAGGCGAGGCCGACAGGCGUAGUCGAAUGGAUGAACGGGUGGAUAUUCCCGUACCGACCAUGGACCGGCAAAACCGAGACGGUGAGUACUAACCUCCGCCUCGUGGUGGUUCCUUCCUUCGGGUUGGUUCCGUCGCGUGGUGUUGGGACUGUAGCCGCAGUAGGUCAGCGCAGGGGUGACACGGAAUGGGAGCCGGCCGCGGAGGUGGUUUUCCGUGGUCAAGCACGCAGCCAGUCAUGUAGGCAAAUCCGCAUGGCGUGCAUGGCGAGGUGUGAUGAUGGGAGCCGUUAUGGUUCGAUAUCCGGUUGUCCAGGCCGUCGAGAAAAGCCUCGGCGUGAGGGCCAUGGCCGCCCGUACCCCAAACCGACACUGGUGGUCAGGUAGAGAAUACCAAGGCGAUCGAGCGAAUCCUGGUCAAGGAACUCGGCAAAUCACUCCCGUGCCUUCGGUAUAAGGGAGACCCACUGGGGUGAAGGACCUUGCGUCCGGAGCUUUGGUGGGUGGCACAGACCAGGGGGUAGCGACUGUUUACCAAAAACACAGGUGCAUGCGAAGGCGAAAGCCGCUGUAUAUGCACUGACGCCUGCCCGGUGCCGGAAGGUUAAGAGGAUCCGUCAAUCCCUUCGGGGACGAAGCGGUGAAUUCAAGCCCCGGUAAACGGCGGUGGUAACUAUAACCAUCCUAAGGUAGCGAAAUUCCUUGUCGGGUAAGUUCCGACCUGCACGAAUGGCGUAACGACUUCCCCACUGUCUCGACCAGGAGCUCGGCGAAAUUGCAGUACGAGUAAAGAUGCUCGUUAAGCGCAGAAGGACGAAAAGACCCCGGGACCUUUACUAUACCUUGGUAUUGGCGUUAGGCGCGGAUUGUGUAGCAUAGGCGGGAGGCUUUGAAACGGGUGCGCCAGCAUUCGUGGAGCCGCAAGGUGAAAUACCGCUCUGUUCUCGUUUGACGUCUAACCUCGACAAGUCAUCCUUGUCAGGGACAGUGCCUGGCGGGUAGUUCAACUGGGGCGGUUGCCUCCCAAAGAGUAACGGAGGCGCUCAAAGGUCCGCUCAGCCCGGUUGGCAAUCGGGUGUCGAGUGUAAUCGCACAAGCGGGCUUGACUGCGAGGACGACGGUCCGAGCAGGGACGAAAGUCGGAGAUAGUGAUCCGGUGCCGGCGCACGGGCGCGGCAUCGCUCAACGGAUAAAAGGUACCCCGGGGAUAACAGGCUGAUCAUUCCCAAGAGUCCAUAUCGACGGGAUGGUUUGGCACCUCGAUGUCGGCUCGUCGCAUCCUGGGGCUGGAGCAGGUCCCAAGGGUUCGGCUGUUCGCCGAUUAAAGCGGCACGCGAGCUGGGUUCAGAACGUCGUGAGACAGUUUGGUCUCUAUCCUCUGCGCUCGUUGGAAUCCUGAGGAGGCCUGCCCAUAGUACGAGAGGACCUGGGUGGACGAACCUCUGGUAUGCCGGUUGUCGCGCCAGCGGCACGGCCGGUUGGCUACGUUCGGGAGGGAUAACCGCUGAAAGCAUCUAAGCGGGAAGCCUGCUCCAAGAUUAGGAUUCCGUACGGUCUUGAACCGUUGUAGCCCGCAUGUUGAACACGUGUUUGAUAGGCCGGAGGUGGAAGCCCCGUGAGGGGUGGAGCCGACCGGUACUAACGGGCGACGGCGACAUAAC